UCACGCAGGCCAUUUAUUAUCCUUGGCUUUGUUUUCUUUCUCUGUAACUGAACUUCAAUUUGGUAUCAAGAGCACCAUGGUUUCUCAAACUACUUCCGGUCAAACAUCUUCUUCAACUUCAGCCAUGCGCUCUUAAUCCUCUUUGGGUCUUCCAAAUUCUUCUCCAACUAUUCAAACAUCAAAGGUUUUAUACCAAUUGAAUUGACAUAUCUUAAUUAUAUUACAUGGAAGAAGUUUUUUCUUACUAUUCUAAAAAACCUCAAUCUUCUUCCCUUGAUUAAUGGCUCUAUUUCAUGUCCCUCAUCAAUCCAUUAAGAGUAUCCUUUGUGGAUUCAAUGUGACACUAUAACUUUAAGUUAGAUUAAUGUCACCCUCUCUUCGCCGGUUCUCAACUCACUUCUCAACUACGUUUGUGACACUUUCAAGCAAGCAUGGGAUAUCCUUGUGUCCCUUUACCUAGAUCAGGUUUCUUCUUCAUCAAUUCAUUUGAAAUCAAAAUUUUAGAAAACUUCAUUCUCGUGCUUGUUUAUUUAGAGCAAUUAGAAAACCUAUCAUUGAUGAUGAUUUAGUGACCCAAGCAUUGCAAGGACUCACACCUCCAUAUCAUACUUUUGUCUCCGAUUUCAAUGCGAGUGGAACACUUCUAUAUUUUCUCACAUUGCGUCCAUUAUUACUUACUGAAGAAGCUCAUAUUAAUGCAACAGAUAAUGAUGAUUUCACUUCUCACACUGCUUUACUUGCUUCAGCCCAAGCACCACCAGUUUCUCAUCUUCUUUUUUCAAAUUUAUCUCAUCUUAAUCAAUAUCAACGAGGAUCUACUAAUAGACGUGGUCGUGGUAAACCAAACCGAGGCAGAGGUCAAAAUUUGUACUCUUCUCGCCCCAGUUUCUCUAACGAAUGGGCUAGUUUUUCACUAAAUUUUUAUCCUUCCUCUUUGGUGAUGGUAUUCUUAGGCGAUCCCCUUUUACAUUGGCUAAACAAUGCCAAAUCUGCUUUCACUUACACUGGUUUAGAGUGCAGAAACUGUUUCAAUCAUUCAUCCGUUCUUAAUUUGCUCCAAAAAUAUUUGUUGCUAUGAACUUGGAGGAAGUAUAAUCACUGGUAUGGGAUCAUGAUUCUGGUGCAUAUGCACAUAUGACAAAUAAUCCAUCACUUUUAUCCUCUUCUUCUCCUUACACUGGCUUGUCAAAGGUGAUGGUUGGAAAUGGAACUCAUGACCAUGGGCUGCAACACUACAGAAACUCUACCAUCUCCAUAACUAUAUUCUCAGACUCGGACUGGGCAGAUUGCACAGCAACUCGUCGUUCUACCUCUGGAUUUUGCAUUUUCCGUGGGAAUAACUUUAUAUCUUGGUCUACAAAAAAACCACCAAUUGUUGCACGCUCAAGCACCAAAGUUGAGUAUCAUGCUCUGGCUGUUGUAGCUGCUGAUACUAUAUGGUAACAAUUUCUCUUGUGGGACUUGAGUGUUUAUCUUCGCAUUUCUAUACUUGCAAAAUGUGAUAAUAUUGGGGUCAUCCAUAUUGCACAUAUUCCAAUCUUUCACUCUUAGUCAAAACAUGUCGCUUUAGACUAUCAUUUUAUCCAUGAGAAGAUUAGUCAGGGUGACCUUACUGUUUCUCACAUUCCUACUAUAUAACAGCUUGCAGAUGUUUUUACUAAAGUUAUCUCUAUUACAAAAUUAAGGAGUUUCUUAUCAAUCUUCAUGUUUGUUUCUCCACUUCAGAUUAAGGGAGGGUGAGAGGGAUAUUAUUGUAAAUAUAAUUUCAAGAGUUAUGUCAUCUUGUAGUUGUAACUACUUUAUAAAUAGAACAUGUUUUGGCCCUUGCUAUUCGCGCAGGCCAUUUAUUA
Molecule: long non-coding RNA, 1850 nt
Organism: Capsicum annuum
Lineage: Eukaryota; Viridiplantae; Streptophyta; Magnoliopsida; Solanales; Solanaceae
Exons: 2
Source: RefSeq, a predicted model, not a curated record